RNAcentral lists this ribosomal RNA (253 nucleotides) under uncultured bacterium. RNAcentral describes it as "partial 16S ribosomal RNA". It matches the Rfam family "Bacterial small subunit ribosomal RNA", at positions 524 to 776 of the family's 1533-position model. The record is from RNAcentral.
UACAGAGGUCCCAAGCGUUGUUCGGAUUCACUGGGCGUAAAGGGUGCGUAGGCGGCCGGGUAAGUCUGCUGUGAAAUCCCGCAGCUCAACUGCGGAACUGCAUUGGAUACUAUCCGGCUAGAGGAAUGGAGGGGAGACUGGAAUUCUCGGUGUAGCAGUGAAAUGCGUAGAUAUCGAGAGGAACACCAGUGGCGAAGGCGAGUCUCUGGACAUUUCCUGACGCUGAGGCACGAAGGCCAGGGGAGCAAACGGG